GCUUCCCAAGCUUUGUAUGUGAGGAGAGUUGAACAUAGAUCAGCAAGAGGAACAGACAACUGGCGAUGGAAUAAAUUCCUAAUUCGCUGGACCUGCUUCUCUCUUGAAUCGGCAUCAGUUUCAUCAAUAGUGAGGAAAAUAGCUUGUUCAAACUCCCUGUAUAAUUCCCAUAUCCUGCUGCCUUCAGUAACAUGCAAACCAGCAGCAACAAGGGCACGCUCAAACAGAUUUCUUGCCUUUGAAAUUCCAGCUGCAGAAAGUGUACGGACUGAUUGGUCGUGCUCUUGAACAAAACUCAAGUAGUCACACCACAAUGCAACAGACAGAUAGUCGGACACCCCACAAUCAAAUAGCUUCUCAAUUGUAGGGAGAGCAUCAAGUCCUGAAUUAAGAGAGAUCUCGUCUUUUGUCCACUCCUGCCACAUCUCUGAACUCAAAGGAAAAAUAGCACUCAUGGCUUCCCUUGCUUGUCUAAGUUUCUCGAUAUCUCCUUGCUUCCUUGAAGCUUUUAUGUAUUGAACAUGAGUGUCGUAAUUGGAAGGAUUAUUUAAGAGCUCAGUUUCAAGAGCUUGAAUUUGUGUAUUCUGCUGUGCAUCAUCUUCUGAAUCGGAGUCGGAGUCGGACUGAGAAUCGGAAUCUGAAUCUUUAGCGGAUUUGUCGGCGUCGAGCAUAUCUUGGUCUUCGUUACCGGUAGGAUUGUCGUCGGAAAGUUG
RNAcentral lists this unclassified non-coding RNA (713 nucleotides) under Hevea brasiliensis (rubber tree). The record is from RNAcentral. Lineage: Eukaryota; Viridiplantae; Streptophyta; Magnoliopsida; Malpighiales; Euphorbiaceae.